Molecule: non-coding RNA, 210 nt
Organism: Pelobates cultripes (western spadefoot toad)
Lineage: Eukaryota; Metazoa; Chordata; Amphibia; Anura; Pelobatidae
Source: the annotation of a GenBank genome assembly
CAAAAGCAUAGCCCAAGCUCAUCAUUAGACACAUUCAAUGCUAGGUUCAAGGCACUAGUACCCUGCAGAGAGCAGUGAAACAGUGGGCCAGCCUGUGGGAAUGAUAGGCAGCCUGACCCGUUAAUAGGGCGGCCAUUCCUUUCCAGAUUGGGCCCGUCUCUUUGGGUGACAGAGUAGCUUUAAAAGCCCAGAUUAAACAGACAUCUAAAG